UGGAAAUGAUUGGAGAAGAGCAACACCCAAUA
RNAcentral lists this non-coding RNA (32 nucleotides) under Syntrophotalea carbinolica DSM 2380. Lineage: Bacteria; Pseudomonadati; Thermodesulfobacteriota; Desulfuromonadia; Desulfuromonadales; Syntrophotaleaceae. The record is from RNAcentral.